RNAcentral lists this ribosomal RNA (424 nucleotides) under uncultured prokaryote. RNAcentral describes it as "bacterial SSU rRNA". It matches the Rfam family "Bacterial small subunit ribosomal RNA", at positions 355 to 774 of the family's 1533-position model. The record is from RNAcentral.
UUAAGAAUCUUGCACAAUGGGGGCAACCCUGAUGCAGCGACGCCGCGUGGAUGAUGAAGGCUCUCGGGUUGUAAAGUCCAGUAAGCAGGGAAGAAUAAGCACCGGGUAAUAUUCGGUGUGAUGACGGUACCUGCCUAAAGCCCCGGCUAACUACGUGCCAGCAGCCGCGGUAAUACGUAUGGGGUAAGCGUUGUUCGGAAUUACUGGGUGUAAAGGGAGCGCAGGCGGGGAAACAAGUCAGCUGUGAAAACUAUGGGCUUAACCCAUAAACUGCAGUUGAAACUGGUUUUCUUGAGUGGAGUAGAGGUAGGCGGAAUUCCGAGGGUAGCGGUGAAAUGCGUAGAUAUUCGGAGGAACACCAGUGGCGAAGGCGGCCUACUGGGCUCUAACUGACGCUGAGGCUCGAAAGUGUGGGGAGCAAACA